GACGAACGCUGGCGGCGUGCCUAAUACAUGCAAGUCGAACGCAGUGGGGACGGGUGAGUAACACGUGGGUAACCUCCCAUCAGAGGGGAUAACACUUGGAAACAGGUGCUAAACCGAUACUGAUGGAUGGACCCGCGGUGCAUUAGCUAGUUGGUGAGGUAACGGCUCACCAAGGCCACGAUGAAUAGCCGACCGGAGUGGGUGAUCGGCCAAACUGGGACUGAGUCACGGCCCAGACGCCGACGGGAGGCAGCAGGAGGGAAUCGUCGGCAAUGGACGAAAGGCGGACCGAGCAACGCCGCGGGAGUGAAGAAGGUUUUCGGAUCGUAAAACUCUGUUGUUAGAGAAGCGGUAUCUACCCAGAAAGCCACUGCUAACGACGUGCCAGCAGCCGCGGUAAUUC
Molecule: ribosomal RNA, 403 nt
Filed under: uncultured bacterium
Lineage: Bacteria
Description: partial 16S ribosomal RNA
Rfam family: Bacterial small subunit ribosomal RNA
Source: RNAcentral